Suricata suricatta (meerkat) is the source of this 558-nucleotide long non-coding RNA. RefSeq lists it as uncharacterized. The transcript has 2 exons. Lineage: Eukaryota; Metazoa; Chordata; Mammalia; Carnivora; Herpestidae. The record is from RefSeq and is a predicted model, not a curated record.
UGUCUGAGUCUCACUUCAUUUCUCUCCCCAAGUCCACCUGCACAUUUGCAAGCAAUCAAGAAAAGAGCCUCGUGUCUCCUACUGUCCUGGACUGAGUCACUGUCUGCAGCACCACUCUCCCUUUACAGGCCAAAAGAUAGCUGCUUAAACAAGGGCUCCUCUCUUCACCUGGGCAUUGCUCACAACCACUGGCUAGAUGAGAGGAAGAGGACGGGAGAAGGGAAACAAGAUGCUUCUGGAAUCCACCCAGGAGAGUGACGUUCCUGGUGGGACUGCCGUCUUCCCAACCAGACGUCCUCCGGCCCUCAGUCCCCUAGAUCACACGGCCGCGUCAUCGGGAAGGGUGCUCUGUGAUGCCCACUAAACAACGGGUUACCUGACAUGGUAGCACCUCCAAAAAGAUGGCUUUCCAGUCACAAUGACCAAGAGGGGGCUGUCUGGUCAAAGUUCCUUUUUCCCUGCCUUCACCUCACUGAGGAUGGACUUUUAGUUUCUAAACCUGCUUAAAUUUUGCCUCCUCUCAGCGGAAUAGCAUUAAACCAGAGAGUGAUUAAGUUA